AUUGAACGCUGGCGGCAUGCUUUACACAUGCAAGUCGAACGGUAACAGGGUGCUUGCACCGCUGACGAGUGGCGAACGGGUGAGUAAUGCGUCGGAACGUGCCGUGUAGUGGGGGAUGACGCAGCGAAAGUUGUGCUAAUACCGCAUACGUACUGAGGUAGAAAGUGGGGGACCUUCGGGCCUCACGCUAUUCGAGCGGCCGACGUCUGAUUAGCUAGUAGGUGAGGUAAAGGCUCACCUAGGCGACGGUAAGUAGCGGGUCUGAGAGGAUGGUCCGCCACACUGGGACUGAGACACGGCCCAGACUCCUACGGGAGUCAGCAGUGGGGAAUUUUGGACAAUGGGCGAAAGCCUGAUCCAGCCAUGCCGCGUGUCUGAAGAAGGCCUUCGGGUUGUAAAGGACUUUUGUCAGGGAGGAAAUCCCUAGUGCUAAUAACACUGGGGGAUGACAGUACCUGAAGAAUAAGCACCGGCUAACUACGUGCCAGCCGCCGCAGUAA
Molecule: ribosomal RNA, 500 nt
Filed under: uncultured bacterium
Lineage: Bacteria
Description: partial 16S ribosomal RNA
Rfam family: Bacterial small subunit ribosomal RNA
Source: RNAcentral